Non-coding RNA from Vicia faba (fava bean), 97 nucleotides. NCBI's taxonomy places the organism in Eukaryota, Viridiplantae, Streptophyta, Magnoliopsida, Fabales, Fabaceae. The record is from the annotation of a GenBank genome assembly.
AUUCAUCUUGACCUUCAACUCUUCAAAUCAGCAACAACCGCACGAUUCAAACCAUCCAACGGCUCACAGGUUUAACUUUGGCAUUUCUUCGUCUUAG